RNAcentral lists this ribosomal RNA (686 nucleotides) under Limosilactobacillus coleohominis. RNAcentral's name for it is "bacterial SSU rRNA". It matches the Rfam family "Bacterial small subunit ribosomal RNA", at positions 57 to 700 of the family's 1533-position model. The record is from RNAcentral. Lineage: Bacteria; Bacillati; Bacillota; Bacilli; Lactobacillales; Lactobacillaceae.
GCAGUCGAACGCGUUGGCCCGACUGAUUGAUGAUGCUUGCAUCAGAUUGACGACGGUUUACUAACGAGUGGCGGACGGGUGAGUAACACGUAGGCAACCUGCCCAGAAGCGGGGGACAACAUUUGGAAACAAGUGCUAAUACCGCAUAACAACGAAAACCGCCUGGUUUUCGUUUAAAAGAUGGUUUCGGCUAUCACUUCUGGAUGGGCCUGCGGCGCAUUAGCUAGUUGGUAAGGUAACGGCUUACCAAGGCAGUGAUGCGUAGCCGAGUUGAGAGACUGAUCGGCCACAAUGGAACUGAGACACGGUCCAUACUCCUACGGGAGGCAGCAGUAGGGAAUCUUCCACAAUGGGCGCAAGCCUGAUGGAGCAACACCGCGUGAGUGAAGAAGGGUUUCGGCUCGUAAAACUCUGUUGUUGAAGAAGAACGUGCGUGAGAGUAACUGUUCACGCAGUGACGGUAUUCAACCAGAAAGUCACGGCUAACUACGUGCCAGCAGCCGCGGUAAUACGUAGGUGGCAAGCGUUAUCCGGAUUUAUUGGGCGUAAAGCGAGCGCAGGCGGUUUUCUAAGUCUGAUGUGAAAGCCUUCGGCUUAACCGGAGAAGGGCAUCGGAAACUGGAUAACUUGAGUGCAAGAGAGGACAGUGGAACUCCAUGUGUAGCGGUGGAAUGCGUAGAUAUAUG